UGCAUCGAACUGCUUCCCUCACUUUCGAUCAGUUGUUGCUCCACGAGCUAAACGCUGGAUGCAAGACGUGGGUUCCUGUGUUGCAUACCUAUUGCGACGGAAAUGUGUGCCUUCGGUCAUCCCUUCCAUCACGACGUCCUMUCGGAUGCUCGGUUGGACCGGAUAGUGGGGCUCGUGUUCCACGAACAUCGUCUCGUACGAUCGUUCGGAUGGACCGCGAGUUUCUACUCGUUCUCUCGGAUGCGGAACUCUCACAAUGGGUGUGGGGUCAUYGGCCCUUGUUCCCUAAUCGUUAAGCGUUUAUCGCUUCACCGGAAUGACGAUCUCGCCUUGUCCUUGAUCACGCGAAGCCCUCGGGCAUCGCGAUGGAUCAUGCUCGGCGGACGUCGUGAAGGAAUGC
This 400-nucleotide unclassified non-coding RNA is filed under the name Eucalyptus rhomboidea. RNAcentral describes it as "partial external transcribed spacer". Lineage: Eukaryota; Viridiplantae; Streptophyta; Magnoliopsida; Myrtales; Myrtaceae. The record is from RNAcentral.